AGUUUGAUCCUGGCUCAGGACGAACGCUGGCGGCGUGCCUAACACAUGCAAGUCGAGCGAGGUCCAUUCGGUAGCAAUACCGAUGAAGACCUAGCGGCGAACGGGUGAGUAACACGUGAGAAACCUGCCCCAAAGUCUGGGAUAACCCGGGGAAACCCGAGCUAAUACCGGAUACCUUCUUUUGAUCGCAUGGUCAGCUGAAGAAAGUUUUUUCGCUUUGGGAGGGUCUCGCGGCCUAUCAGUUUGUUGGUGGGGUAACGGCCUACCAAGACAUCGACGGGUAGCUGGUCUGAGAGGACGAUCAGCCACACUGGGACUGAGACACGGCCCAGACUCCCACGGGAGGCAGCAGUGGGGAAUCUUGCGCAAUGGGCGAAAGCCUGACGCAGCAACGCCGCGUGCGGGAUGACGGCCUUCGGGUUGUAAACCGCUUUCAGCAGGGACGAAAUUGACGGUACCUGCAGAAGAAGCCCCGGCCAACUACGUGCCAGCAGCCGCGGUAACACGUAGGGGGCGAGCGUUGUCCGGAUUUAUUGGGCGUAAAGAGCUCGUAGGCGGCUUUGUCAGUCGGGUGUGAAACCUCCAGGCUCAACCUGGAGCCGCCACCCGAUACUGCAAUAGCUAGAGUCCGGUAGGGGAGCAUGGAACUCCUGGUGUAGCGGUGAAAUGCGCAG
Molecule: ribosomal RNA, 674 nt
Filed under: uncultured bacterium
Lineage: Bacteria
Description: bacterial SSU rRNA
Rfam family: Bacterial small subunit ribosomal RNA
Source: RNAcentral